AUGCCGUUCCAGUUUGCAAUUUAUUACUUAUAUGAUAAGUCAUUAAAAGUGGAGAGUACAUCGAUCCUUGUAGCUAAUAUAGACCAGCAUAGUCAAGUUACGUCAAAACCAGACCUUGAUGGAGACGACAAUUGGCUAGAAAUAAAGUGGCCUUCACGUAAAGAACCAGAGAAGACGGUGCCUGCAAAAGUCCUGCUGUUUGGAGAUUCGUUCAAAGACCUCGUCAUGAAGAAAAACUUACUACUUUUGGGAAAGGACAUAUGGAAAAAGGAUGAAAGCAGGGGUGUUCGUGUCAAAAAGAAAAUAUUGGACACCAGCAACGAGGUGGAGGCUAAAAAAGCCAGGCUGGAAAAGCUAGUAAACACUAAGAAGGCUGCCAGACCCCUGGCAUUCACUUCCGAUCAUCAUAUCAGUUCUGAAGAUGCUACAAACAUAGCGAGCCCACUCCGUCCAGAUCAUCACACCAGUUCUGAUGAUGCUACAACCAUAGGGAGUCCUGAAAUGGUGAGUCAUAUUUUUUGUUUUAUUUUUUUGAUCUAUGUACUGUGCUGUACACAAAUUGUUUCUCUCUUGAUUUUCACACAACUCUUAUAA
Cyprinus carpio (common carp) is the source of this 594-nucleotide long non-coding RNA. NCBI's taxonomy places the organism in Eukaryota, Metazoa, Chordata, Actinopteri, Cypriniformes, Cyprinidae. The record is from Ensembl.